GUACGAUCCGCGCAUAGCGCGCAGGAAAGUAAGGCGAGGAUAUCCCCAAGUCGUUGUAAACGCUGUCAGCGGGUAUCACCAGAUAGUCAAAUCUUCAAAUAUCCACCUUUUUGUAAACCUUUGAUUCUCGUUGUUGCUCGGUUUGAAAUGCAGCAUGACGCUGUUGUUAAUCACGUCUACAUGUCAAAGCAACUUUGUCAGGCAGAAUCGGAAUGCCCUCUUCUGGUGAGAGAACGAUUCAGGAGCUCGUCCAAUGUCGUCACGAUCAUGCUUUGGUGACAUAGCUCCAUUCUUAUACUGACAUCAACUGCUUUAGCUAAGUAUCCGCAUCUUACCUGUUUACUUAUGUGGUUUCUCGCCUGGUUCUUUGAUGAAUAUCUUACACUCA
Molecule: long non-coding RNA, 388 nt
Organism: Astatotilapia calliptera (eastern happy)
Lineage: Eukaryota; Metazoa; Chordata; Actinopteri; Cichliformes; Cichlidae
Source: Ensembl